This 218-nucleotide microRNA precursor is filed under the name Malus domestica (apple). RNAcentral describes it as "sRNA MD04G0166400". It matches the Rfam family "MIR159 microRNA precursor family". The record is from RNAcentral. Lineage: Eukaryota; Viridiplantae; Streptophyta; Magnoliopsida; Rosales; Rosaceae.
UGAUGGAGGACGGAGCUCCUUUUAGUCCAAUUCAGAGGGCUGAGGAGUGGCAAGAGCUGCCAUCUCAUGCAUUUGGCUACCCCCUUAACAUAUUAUUUUUCCAACCCUAGCCCUCUGCACGAAUGUUAAGGGUUUGGCCUGGUGCAUGGCGUGGGAGCAACUCCUUCCGCUCGCUUUGCCCACCCAUUGGACUGAAGGGAGCUCCCCACCAGCGUCGG